This 125-nucleotide small RNA is filed under the name Marmota monax (woodchuck). The record is from RNAcentral. Lineage: Eukaryota; Metazoa; Chordata; Mammalia; Rodentia; Sciuridae.
GCUGGGCACAGUGGUGCAAGCCCGUAAUCCCAGUAGCUUGGGAGGCUGAGAUAGGAGGAUCGCAAGUUCAAAGCCAGCCUCAGCAAGAGUAAGGUGCUAAGCAACUCAGUGAGACCCUGUCUCUA